AUCACAGUCUUUCACGUGACCUUCUCCGGCCAUUUGUUCUCCAUCAGACGAGGCGAGUUGAAUUCUUGCCUGCAGAUACACGAGGUGAUAACAAGCUGAAUCUGUCUCUAAGUGAGGCAGUGUACCAUACGUCUGGCAAAGGCUUCACUCAGGACGAGACUAGUACUGGUACAUUGGCGGCAGUGAUAUAAGACUAGCCAUGAUAAGCAAACGUGGAGAGACCUGUGGAGAGAGCGGAAGUACACAAGCUGGGAAGGGUGAGUGGCAGGCACGGAGGUGACGUCAGAAGCGAGGAAACGACGGGCAACAUCAACGAGUAGCUGCCCGUGAGUGCGCUUGAGCGAGCAACCAGAGCGAAACACCAGAAACUCAAAGUGAAAGCAUCACAGAUGGUGGCUUAGGUGAGAAACCACACAGGCGGUGCUGCUAAACAGUUAAAAAUUUAUUUUUUUUGUCGACGGUGCUGGGCAUGGUGAGACACGGCUCUCGAGUGGUAGGUACACAGACGCUUCGGAAGCGAGAAAGACUUAGCAAGCAAACAAGUCGCGGCUUUCCUGCCUUAUGUACCAUUGAAGUGGAAAUAAAAACUUUGUUCCCUCCAA
Scylla paramamosain (green mud crab) is the source of this 602-nucleotide long non-coding RNA. RefSeq lists it as uncharacterized. NCBI's taxonomy places the organism in Eukaryota, Metazoa, Arthropoda, Malacostraca, Decapoda, Portunidae. The transcript has 3 exons. The record is from RefSeq and is a predicted model, not a curated record.